Chrysolophus pictus (golden pheasant) is the source of this 125-nucleotide small nuclear RNA. Its record names the gene U5. It matches the Rfam family "U5 spliceosomal RNA". Rfam says of the family: U5 RNA is a component of both types of known spliceosome. The precise function of this molecule is unknown, though it is known that the 5' loop is required for splice site selection and p220 binding, and that both the 3' stem-loop and the Sm site are important for Sm protein binding and cap methylation. Lineage: Eukaryota; Metazoa; Chordata; Aves; Galliformes; Phasianidae. The record is from Ensembl.
AUACUCUGGUUUCUCUUCAGAUCAUAUAAAUCUUUUGCCUUUUACUAAAACUUUCCAUGAAGAGGAAUAGCAGAAAUUGCAAAGGCUGAUACAAAAUUCAUAAUAUAAUACUAUACUGGGGUUUA